UAAUUGAAGAGUUUGAUCAUGGCUCAGAUUGAACGCUGGCGGCAGGCCUAACACAUGCAAGUCGAGCGGUAACAGGGGAAGCUUGCUUCUCGCUGACGAGCGGCGGACGGGUGAGUAAUGUAUGGGGAUCUGCCCGAUAGAGGGGGAUAACCACUGGAAACGGUGGCUAAUACCGCAUAAUCUCUUAGGAGCAAAGCAGGGGAACUUCGGUCCUUGCGCUAUCGGAUGAACCCAUAUGGGAUUAGCUAGUAGGUG
This 255-nucleotide ribosomal RNA is filed under the name Providencia rettgeri. RNAcentral's name for it is "partial 16S ribosomal RNA". It matches the Rfam family "Bacterial small subunit ribosomal RNA", at positions 1 to 254 of the family's 1533-position model. Lineage: Bacteria; Pseudomonadati; Pseudomonadota; Gammaproteobacteria; Enterobacterales; Morganellaceae. The record is from RNAcentral.